UCGAUGCAAAUAAUUGAAAGA
This 21-nucleotide non-coding RNA is filed under the name Caenorhabditis elegans. The record is from RNAcentral. Lineage: Eukaryota; Metazoa; Nematoda; Chromadorea; Rhabditida; Rhabditidae.